AUGGAAUCGGCGGGGAACGACCGGAGGGACGCGGCGCUGGGGAGCCUGGCGGUCCUCCCCGACGAGCUGCUCUGCGCCAUCGUCGACCUCCUCGAGCCCACCGACAUCGGCCGCCUCGCAUGCGUCAGCAGUGUCAUGUACAUACUUUGCAACGAGGAACCUCUCUGGAUGAGUAAAUAUCUUUCUGUUGGUGGUCAUCUUGAGUACAAAGGUUCUUGGAAGAAAACAACAUUGUCUAGGCUUAGUCUUUGCUCCGGAAAUAGUGAGCUUGAGCAGAAGGCUCGUCAUUUUGAUGGAUUCAAUUCCUUGUUCUUAUACAGGAGAUGGUAUAGAUGUUUUACUACUUUGAGUAAUUAUUCCUUUGACAAUGGACAUGUGGAAAGAAAGGAUGACCUUUCUUUGGAUCAUUUCCAUUCUCAGUAUGAUGGAAAAGGCCCAGUUUUGCUUGGUAAGCUGGCUGAAACCUGGCCAGCAAGGACUAAAUGGGCAAUUCAGCAGCUGGUGCAUGAUUAUGGUGAAGUUACAUUUAGGAUAUCACAAAGAAGCCCUAAGAAGAUAAUAAUGAAACUGAAAGACUAUGUUUCUUACAUGGAACUCCAGCAUGAUGAAGAUCCUCUUUAUAUAUUUGAUGAUAAGUUUGGAGAAACAACACCAGCACUAUUGGAAGAUUACAGAGUACCUCAUUUAUUUCAAGAAGAUCUUUUUGGUGUCUUGGAUUAUGAACAAAGACCUGCUUUCAGAUGGCUUAUUAUUGGACCAGAAAGAUCAGGUGCCUCUUGGCAUGUUGAUCCAGGGUUAACCAGUGCGUGGAAUACUCUUCUUUGUGGCCGAAAAAGAUGGGCACUGUACCCUCCAGGAAGAGUGCCUGGUGGUGUCACGGUACAUGUAAGUGAUGAGGAUGGUGAUGUUGACAUUGAGACUCCAACGUCUUUGCAGUGGUGGCUUGAUAUCUAUCCUCAUCUUGCUGAACACGAGAAACCACUGGAAUGCACACAAUUACCAGGAGAGACCAUAUUUGUUCCUAGUGGAUGGUGGCAUUGUGUUCUAAACCUUGAGACUACUGUCGCAGUUACACAAAACUUUGUCAAUCAAUCAAAUUUUGAGCAUGUAUGUCUAGACAUGGCACCUGGUCACUGUCACAAAGGAGUUUGUCGUGCUGGCUUACUUGCUGUUCCAGGAAAAUCUAUUAGAGAUAUUGAAAAUCAUCCGCCUGGAACAAUGAGUGCAUGGAACCACAAUGACAUGACUCGUGCAGAAAAAAGACUGAAAGGUUCAGGGUCCGGAAGAGCUUCAAACAGUGCAAAUCAGUGUGCUUCAUUUGAGUUCUCAGAUGUCCAUGAAAGUUUGGAGAACCAAGUUUUCUCGUAUGAUAUAGGUUUCUUAUCCCAAUUUCUUGAGAAGGAAAAAGAUCACUAUACUUCUGUCUGGAGUCCUACUAAUCCAAUUGGCCAGAGAGAAGCAAGAGAAUGGCUGCGAAGGCUAUGGGUUCUUAAGCCUGAACUGAGAGGACUAAUAUGGAAGGGUGCAUGCCUAGCAAUAAGUGUGGACAAAUGGUAUGCAUGCUUAGAGGAAAUAAGUGCAUGCCAUAGUUUACCACCACCGUCAGAGGAUGAGAAGCUUCCUGUUGGCACAGGUAGCAACCCAGUCUUCAUUGUUUCUGACAAUGUGAUUAAAAUCUAUGCUGAAGGAGGCCUGGGUUAUUCUGCCCAUGGUUUAGGCACAGAGCUUGAGUUCUAUAAUCUUCUGCGAAAAGUUGGCUCGCCUUUGAUCAAUCACGUCCCUGAGAUCAUUGCAAGUGGAUUUCUUGUGUACGAAGAUGGCGUCUACAGAACAGUCCCAUGGGAUGGAAAAGGAAUGCCAGAUGUUUUGGCUAAAUACUAUCCUCUGGAGCUUUCUUACACAAACAGCUGUUUUCCUCUUGGAUUAUGGAGCAAACAGCAGUUUGGAAUGGAUAGUUCCACUGAAUGUUCAAACAAACCUAUUUGGCCUUACAUGGUUACGAGAAAAUGCAAAGGGGAUAUCUUUGCUCGUGUCCGUGAUACAUUGUCCAAGGCUGACCUUUUGAAUCUGGCAUCAUCCUUGGGAGUUCAAAUGCGAAAUAUCCAUUUAUUACCCCUUCCACAUGGGGAACCAUUACCCAAACCUGAAGACAAUAAUGUGAGAGACAGUGAUCCACCUGAAUGGAAACAAGUAAUUUCUACUUUAAACGGAAGAAGGAAUAAUAUAAAGAAGCACCUAGCUAACUGGGGGGGUACUGUCCCAACAGUUUUAAUUGAGAAGGCUGAAGAAUAUCUCCCUGCUGAUAUGAGCUCUCUAAUCAAGUUUGUUAAGGAUGACGAUGGUGACUCAGUGUACACAUUCCCUUGUUGGAUACAUUCAGAUAUUAUGGACGAUAACAUUCUUACUCAGAGGUCCCUCACUGAUGCCAAAAGCACUUGUGAGAGAGAUCUGGAGAAACUGGAUGCAAUUAAUAUAAUUGACUUCAGUGAUCUGUCCAUCGGGGAUCCUCUAUGUGACUUGAUUCCGCUGCACCUGGAUGUUUUCCGUGGGGAUAUUGAUCUUCUCAGGGAGUACCUAAGAAGCUACCAGCUUCCUUUCCUGAGAGGGAAAUCAAACAAUGAUAUCUACAAGUCGGUGCGAAAUUCGAAGUUCAGCACUGCGUCAUAUCGCGCGAUGUGCUACUGCAUGCUGCACGAGGACAACGUGCUGGCAGCUAUAUUCGGGCUGUGGAAAGAGCUGCGAGCUGCAACGUCGUGGGAGGAGGUCGAGCACUUGGUCUGGGAUGACCUUAACCGAUACCAGCAAUCGUCGCCUACACUCUCUAGCUAG
Molecule: ribosomal RNA, 2829 nt
Filed under: Triticum aestivum (bread wheat)
Lineage: Eukaryota; Viridiplantae; Streptophyta; Magnoliopsida; Poales; Poaceae
Description: partial small subunit ribosomal RNA
Source: RNAcentral